This 414-nucleotide long non-coding RNA is filed under the name Anser brachyrhynchus (Pink-footed goose). RNAcentral's name for it is "lncRNA (ENSABRG00000021960.1)". Lineage: Eukaryota; Metazoa; Chordata; Aves; Anseriformes; Anatidae. The record is from RNAcentral.
GAUUUCCAUCCUUUUGAUUCCGUUAACGAGCAGAGCAUUUAUGUCGGCCUACACUCGCCUCUGUGUGCGUGGAUGGAGGUCUGAGCGAUGUUACUCUUCCAGACAGAGAGAAGAGAAGACCAACUGCUUCAGCCAGAUAACAUCUCUCUCUGAGCACAAAGCGCUGGGGUUAAUUCAAAGAGCUCCUCACUCUUCUCAGGCUCAACUGCUCGUCAGCGUACUGUAGGCCGUUAUUGUGGUCAUGCAGUAACCAAAAAGAGAAAGUGCUCAGUGCACCCUGAAAAAGGAACUGGUAGAAACCUAUCUGCAACAAAUCACAGAUACAACACUGCAGGUAGGACCGGUGUACAAAGGAGCGCAGAGGGAACCUUCUAAUUCUUGCUAGCAAAAGCAAGGAAGUUCAGUUAGGUCAGG